AUGCAAGUCGAGCGGGGGAAGGUAGCUUGCUACCGGACCUAGCGGCGGACGGGUGAGUAAUGCUUAGGAAUCUGCCUAUUAGUGGGGGACAACAUCUCGAAAGGGAUGCUAAUACCGCAUACGUCCUACGGGAGAAAGCAGGGGAUCUUCGGACCUUGCGCUAAUAGAUGAGCCUAAGUCGGAUUAGCUAGUUGGUGGGGUAAAGGCCUACCAAGGCGACGAUCUGUAGCGGGUCUGAGAGGAUGAUCCGCCACACUGGGACUGAGACACGGCCCAGACUCCUACGGGAGGCAGCAGUGGGGAAUAUUGGACAAUGGGGGGAACCCUGAUCCAGCCAUGCCGCGUGUGUGAAGAAGGCCUUAUGGUUGUAAAGCACUUUAAGCGAGGAGGAGGCUACUUUAGUUAAUACCUAGAGAUAGUGGACGUUACUCGCAGAAUAAGCACCGGCUAACUCUGUGCCAGCAGCCGCGGUAAUACAGAGGGUGCGAGCGUUAAUCGGAUUUACUGGGCGUAAAGCGUGCGUAGGCGGCUUAUUAAGUCGGAUGUGAAAUCCCCGAGCUUAACUUGGGAAUUGCAUUCGAUACUGGUGAGCUAGAGUAUGGGAGAGGAUGGUAGAAUUCCAGGUGUAGCGGUGAAAUGCGUAGAGAUCUGGAGGAAUACCGAUGGCGAAGCAGCCAUCUGGCCUAAUACUGACGCUGAGUACGAAAGCAUGGGGAGCAA
This 720-nucleotide ribosomal RNA is filed under the name Acinetobacter baumannii Naval-81. RNAcentral's name for it is "bacterial SSU rRNA". It matches the Rfam family "Bacterial small subunit ribosomal RNA", at positions 55 to 771 of the family's 1533-position model. The record is from RNAcentral. Lineage: Bacteria; Pseudomonadati; Pseudomonadota; Gammaproteobacteria; Moraxellales; Moraxellaceae.